RNAcentral lists this ribosomal RNA (253 nucleotides) under uncultured bacterium. RNAcentral describes it as "partial 16S ribosomal RNA". It matches the Rfam family "Bacterial small subunit ribosomal RNA", at positions 524 to 776 of the family's 1533-position model. The record is from RNAcentral.
UACAGAGACUGCAAGCGUUAUUCGGAUUCACUGGGCGUAAAGGGUGCGCAGGCGGCCGAGUGUGUGAGGCGUGAAAGCCCGGGGCUUAACCCCGGAAUUGCACCUCAAACUACACGGCUAGAGCAUUGGAGAGGGUAGCAGAAUUCAUGGUGUAGCAGUGAAAUGCGUAGAGAUCGGGAGGAACACCAGUGGCGAAGGCGGCUACCUGGACCAGCACUGACACUGAGGCACGAAAGCGUGGGGAGCAAACAGG